RNAcentral lists this ribosomal RNA (544 nucleotides) under uncultured bacterium. RNAcentral's name for it is "bacterial SSU rRNA". It matches the Rfam family "Bacterial small subunit ribosomal RNA", at positions 8 to 555 of the family's 1533-position model. The record is from RNAcentral.
AGGGUUUGAUUAUGGCUCAGAACGAACGCUGGCGGCGUGCUUAACACAUGCAAGUCGAGUGCGCGUCUGUAGCAAUACAGAUGGCGCACGGCGCACGGGUGCGUAACACGUGGGCAAUCUGCCCUUCGAUGGGGAAUAACUCCGGGAAACCGAAGCUAAUUCCGCAUAACAUUCCUUGGACCUCGGUUCGAGGACUCAAAGCCGUAAGGCGUCGAAGGAGGAGCCCGCGCCCGAUUAGCUAGUUGGUGAGGUAACGGCUCACCAAGGCAAUGAUCGGUAGCUGGUCUGAGAGGAUGGCCAGCCACACUGGAACUGAGACACGGUCCAGACUCCUACGGGAGGCAGCAGUGGGGAAUCUUGCGCAAUGGGCGAAAGCCUGACGCAGCGACGCCGCGUGGGGGAUGAAGCAUCUCGGUGUGUAAACCCCUUUCGACUGGGACGAAUACCUCGCAAGAGGGGUGACGGUACCAGUAGAAGAAGCCCCGGCUAACUACGUGUCAGCAGCCGCGGUAAGACGUAGGGGCCAGCGUUGUUCGGAAUUACU